UACGUGAAACCGUUCAGGGGUAAACCUGAGAAACCCAAAAGAUCGAAUGGGGAGAUUCAUCGUCAGCGGCGUUGGCUUCCGUGCGGUUCGCGAUGUCCGGGACCUCGGUCCCGCGUCACGCGUCCGCUGCGGUAUGUCCGGCGUCGUCGGCGUGCACUUCUCCCCUAGUAGGACGUCGCGACCCGUUGGGUGCCGGCCUACGGCCCGGUUGGUCGACUGUCGCGUUCGCUUGAACGCGGCAGACCACCGGUCGCCCGGCCGACUGCCCGGCGGUAUAGAUCGCUAUUUAAAACGGUAUUGGGCCGCAUUAAGUGCGUUCAGGCUCGUCGGCAGGCUCGUCUCGCCCGGAUUUACGGACCUAGUGCCGUUGCCGGGUGCUUGGCGCGGCCGUUAGUCGACGAUGUCCUCGGACUGGCUCUUGCAUUCGAACGGAUAUACCGGUCGGCGACGCUACUGCUUUGGGUACUUUCAGGACCCGUCUUGAAACACGGACCAAGGAGUCUAACAUGUACGCGAGUCAUUGGGACUUGUUAAGCCUAAAGGCGCAAUGAAAGUGAAGGUCGGCCCUAGCGUCGACCGAGAGAGGAUGGCUCGCGUUACGAUGCGAGCCCGCACUCCCGGGGCGUCUCGUGCUCAUUGCGAGCAGAGGCGCACCCAGAGCGUACACGUUGGGACCCGAAAGAUGGUGAACUAUGCCUGGUCAGGACGAAGUCAGGGGAAACCCUGAUGGAGGUCCGUAGCGAUUCUGACGUGCAAAUCGAUCGUCGGAACUGGGUAUAGGGGCGAAAGACUAAUCGAACCAUC
RNAcentral lists this ribosomal RNA (804 nucleotides) under Formicidae sp. NZAC 03012775. RNAcentral describes it as "eukaryotic LSU rRNA". It matches the Rfam family "Eukaryotic large subunit ribosomal RNA", at positions 396 to 944 of the family's 3401-position model. The record is from RNAcentral. Lineage: Eukaryota; Metazoa; Arthropoda; Insecta; Hymenoptera; Formicidae.